Molecule: ribosomal RNA, 500 nt
Filed under: uncultured bacterium
Lineage: Bacteria
Description: partial 16S ribosomal RNA
Rfam family: Bacterial small subunit ribosomal RNA
Source: RNAcentral
AUUGAACGCUGGCGGAAUGCUUUACACAUGCAAGUCGAACGGCAGCACGGGCCUCGGCCUGGUGGCGAGUGGCGAACGGGUGAGUAAUACAUCGGAACGUACCCAGUAGUGGGGGAUAGCCCGGCGAAAGCCGGAUUAAUACCGCAUAUGCCCUGAGGGGGAAAGCGGGGGACCGAAAGGCCUCGCGCUAUUGGAGCGGCCGAUGGCUGAUUAGCUAGUUGGUGGGGUAAAGGCCUACCAAGGCGACGAUCAGUAGCUGGUCUGAGAGGACGACCAGCCACACUGGGGCUGAGACACGGCCCAGACUCCUACGGGAGGCAGCAGUGGGGAAUUUUGGACAAUGGGCGAAAGCCUGAUCCAGCAAUGCCGCGUGUGCGAAGAAGGCCUUCGGGUUGUAAAGCACUUUUGUUUGGAAAGAAAAGGUUUGGGUUAAUACCCUGGACUGGUGACGGUACCAAUCGAAUAAGCACCGGCUAACUACGUGCCAGCCGCCGCCGUAA